This is a long non-coding RNA of Xenopus laevis (African clawed frog), 904 nucleotides long. RefSeq lists it as uncharacterized. The record is from RefSeq and is a predicted model, not a curated record. The transcript has 3 exons. NCBI's taxonomy places the organism in Eukaryota, Metazoa, Chordata, Amphibia, Anura, Pipidae.
UUGCUUAAGUAUUCAUUUUGGGGGUAUAGUUUUCCUUUAAUAAAAUUUCAACAUUGCACUAAUUUCACUGUGAAAUAAUCUGAUACACCCUGACACCCACACUUUAUCUGAACUUUCAAUUGAACAACGUAUCUGGCUCAAUAUCUGUGGCUUCCUCUAUUAACUUUCUAACAGGGCUUAGGACAAAGAUGUUGUCCUACACAAGUUUUUCAUCCGAGUGCCCUGGGAACACAUUAUCAUCUACUACAUUCAAAAGAUUGACUGGGUCUGAGGCUCCUUCUCCAUAGCUGCUCUGUGGCAAGUCUUCGCAUAAGGAGAGAAGCAGGUUCCCUAUAUAUUGCACCAAGUGUUUCCCUGUGAAGAAAAUAGAAGGUUCUACACUGCAGAGAUGGUGAUAGCCCUACAGUUCCUGCACUCCAAUGGCGUCAUUCAUCGAGAUCUCAAGCCUGAAAACAUCUUGGUUGGUAAUGAUGGUCACAUCAAGAUCUGUGAUUUUGGCCUCGCUGUUGAGGGAGUCUUUGGCGGAAAGAAGAUUAGUGGAUUGACAGGAACACCUGGAUACUGUGCACCGGAGAUUAGAAUUUUUUUAAUGUAAUUUAUACACAGAGGCAUUUAGAUCAAUUUGUCAUUUUCUUCUUUUGACAUUUUGUAAUUUUGCUGUGUCUAGUAGAACAUUUUUAUUAUAUUAACAAGAAAGGGAACAAGUGCCCAGAGCAGAUAGACUGUACAAUGGGCCAGUAACCUUUGUUUUUUGUAUGUUCCCUAUGUUACUGGCUCUCAUUUAGCUUCAAAAAAAAUUAUUUUAUAUAUAACUGUGCAAGAGAUAAUUAGUUCUCUUUUUUUCUUAAAGGGAUACUGUCAUUGGAAAAAAUAAUUUUUUCAAAAUGAAUCAGUUAAUAGUGCU